This 253-nucleotide ribosomal RNA is filed under the name uncultured bacterium. Its description in RNAcentral is "partial 16S ribosomal RNA". It matches the Rfam family "Bacterial small subunit ribosomal RNA", at positions 524 to 776 of the family's 1533-position model. The record is from RNAcentral.
UACGUAGGCAGCGAGCGUUGUUCGGAGUUACUGGGCGUAAAGGGUGUGUAGGCGGUUGUUUAAGUUUGGGGUGAAAUCUCCCGGCUCAACUGGGAGGGUGCGCCGAAUACUGAAUGACUAGAGUGCGGGAGAGGAAAGUGGAAUUCCUGGUGUAGCGGUGAAAUGCGUAGAUAUCAGGAGGAACACCGGUGGUGUAGACGGCUUUCUGGACCGUAACUGACGCUGAGACACGAAAGCGUGGGGAGCAAACAGG